CACGUAGGGAGCAAGCGUUGUCCGGAUUUAUUGGGCGUAAAGAGCUCGUAGGUGGUUCGAUAAGUCAGGUGUGAAAACUCUGGGCUCAACUCAGAGACGCCACUUGAUACUGUCGUGACUUGAGUCUGGUAGGGGAGUGUGGAAUUCCCGGUGUAGCGGCGAAAUGCGCAGAUAUCGGGAGGAACACCAGUGGCGAAGGCGGCACUCUGGGCCAGUACUGACACUGAGGAGCGAAAGCGUGGGGAGCGAACAGG
This 254-nucleotide ribosomal RNA is filed under the name uncultured bacterium. RNAcentral describes it as "partial 16S ribosomal RNA". It matches the Rfam family "Bacterial small subunit ribosomal RNA", at positions 524 to 776 of the family's 1533-position model. The record is from RNAcentral.